UAGGGAAUCUUCCACAAUGGGCGAAAGACUGAUGGAGCAACGCCGCGUGUGUGAUGAAGGGUUUCGGCUCGUAAAACACUGUUGUAAGAGAAGAAUGACAUUGAGAGUAACUGUUCAAUGUGUGACGGUAUCUUACCAGAAAGGAACGGCUAAAUACGUGCCAG
Molecule: ribosomal RNA, 164 nt
Filed under: uncultured bacterium
Lineage: Bacteria
Description: partial 16S rRNA
Rfam family: Bacterial small subunit ribosomal RNA
Source: RNAcentral